This 482-nucleotide ribosomal RNA is filed under the name uncultured bacterium. RNAcentral describes it as "partial 16S ribosomal RNA". It matches the Rfam family "Bacterial small subunit ribosomal RNA", at positions 30 to 507 of the family's 1533-position model. The record is from RNAcentral.
AUUGAACGCUGGCGGCAUGCUUUACACAUGCAAGUCGAACGGUAACAGGCCGCAAGGUGCUGACGAGUGGCGAACGGGUGGGUAAUGAAUCGGAACGUGCCCAGUCGUGGGGGAUAACUAAUCGAAAGAGUAGCUAAUACCGCAUACGAUCUAUGGAUGAAAGCGGGGGACCGUAAGGCCUCGCGCGAUUGGAGCGGCCGAUGUCAGAUUAGGUAGUUGGUGGGGUAAAGGCUCACCAAGCCAACGAUCUGGAGCUGGUCUGAGAGGACGACGAGCCACACUGGGACUGAGACACGGCCCAGACUCCUACGGGAGGCCGCAGUGGGGAAUUUUGGACAAUGGGCGCAAGCCUGAUCCAGCAAUGCCGCGUGCAGGAAGAAGGCCUUCGGGUUGUAAACUGCUUUUGUACGGAACGAAACGGCUCUGGUUAAUACCCGGGGCUAAUGACGGUACCGUAAGAAUAAGCACCGGCUAACUACGUG